AGGAAGGCCUUANGGUUGUAAAGCUCUUUCACCCACGACGAUGAAGACGGUAGUGGGAGAAGAAGCCCCGGCUAACUUCGUGCCAGCAGCCGCGGUAAUACGAAGGGGGCGAGCGUUGAUCGGAUUUACUGGGCGUAAAGGGCGCGCAGGCGGCAGACCAAGCCAGGCGUGAAAGCCCCGGCUUAACCUGGGAGGUGCGUCUGGGACUGGUCAGCUAGAGUUCGGGAGAGGAGAGUGGAAUUCCCAGUGUAGAGGUGAAAUUCGUAAGAUAUCGGGAAGAACACCGGUGGCGAAGGCGGCUCUCUGGACCGAGACUGACCUGAAGGCGCGAAGCGUGGGGGAGCAAACAGGAAUAAGAUACCCUGGUAAUCCACGCUUGUAAACG
RNAcentral lists this ribosomal RNA (385 nucleotides) under uncultured Alphaproteobacteria bacterium. Its description in RNAcentral is "bacterial SSU rRNA". It matches the Rfam family "Bacterial small subunit ribosomal RNA", at positions 408 to 808 of the family's 1533-position model. The record is from RNAcentral. Lineage: Bacteria; Pseudomonadati; Pseudomonadota; Alphaproteobacteria.